UACAGAGGGUGCGAGCGUUGUCCGGAAUCACUGGGCGUAAAGGGCGCGUAGGUGGUCUGGUAAGCGUGCGGUGAAAUCGCGGGGCUCAACCCCGCGCCGGCCGUGCGAACUGCUGGACUGGAGCACUGUAGAGGCGGGUGGAAUUCCGGGUGUAGCGGUGGAAUGCGUAGAGAUCCGGAAGAACACCGGUGGCGAAGGCGGCCCGUUGGGCAGUGGCUGACACUGAGGCGCGACAGCGUGGGGAGCAAACAGG
Molecule: ribosomal RNA, 253 nt
Filed under: uncultured bacterium
Lineage: Bacteria
Description: partial 16S ribosomal RNA
Rfam family: Bacterial small subunit ribosomal RNA
Source: RNAcentral